CCUACGGGUGGCAGCAGUGAGGAAUAUUGGUCAAUGGGGGCAACCCUGAACCAGCCACGUCGCGUGAAGGAUGACUGCCCUACGGGUUGUAAACUUCUUUUAUACGGGAAUAAAGUGAGACACGUGUGCCUUUUUUGAUGUACCCUAUGAAUAAGGAUCGGCUAACCCCGUGCCAGCAGCCGCGGUAAUACGGAGGCGCCGUGCGUUAUCCGGAUUUAUUGGGUUUAAAGGGAGCGUAGGUGGGUUGGUAAGCGGGUUGUGAAAGGCCGGGGCGCAACCGUGGCACUGCAACGGAAACUGGGAGGCGUGAGUGCGGGUGAGGUAGGCGGAAGUCGUGGUGUAGCGGUGAAAUGCGUAGAUAUCAAGAAGAACGCAGAUUGCGAAGGCAGCCUACUGGACAUUUACUGACGCUGAGGCACGAAGGUGCGGGGAUCGAACAGGAUUAGAUACCCGUGUAGUC
This 460-nucleotide ribosomal RNA is filed under the name uncultured bacterium. Its description in RNAcentral is "partial 16S ribosomal RNA". It matches the Rfam family "Bacterial small subunit ribosomal RNA", at positions 338 to 795 of the family's 1533-position model. The record is from RNAcentral.